This is a non-coding RNA of Motacilla alba alba, 922 nucleotides long. The record is from the annotation of a RefSeq genome assembly. NCBI's taxonomy places the organism in Eukaryota, Metazoa, Chordata, Aves, Passeriformes, Motacillidae.
CCUGGGGCUUUGUGCCCACGUCCUGGAUCCGUGUGAGUGCAUUUCUUUCCAGCGCCCUGAAGGACAAUUCGGGAGUCCCCACAGGACAGCAAAGGGAGGAGGUGCGGGAACAGAUGAUGGGAGCGAAGGAAAGGCAGGGAGUGUCGAUGCUGAGCUGCACGAUGCCAGCCCGAUGCCCUGGGCCCCAGCCCGGCGCCGCCGCUUGCGACGUGCAGAGAGCCGAGCGCCGCCCCGCAGCCCCCGCGCUCGCCUCCGCUCCGUUCCCUGGCGGGACUGGGCGAGAGCCCGAGCGGCAGCGGCGCAGGGCUGAGCCCCGGGGCGGAGCUGGCGGCGGCCCAGAGGAGGCGGCACGGCCGCAGCAGAGCCGGGGCUCAGGGGCACAGCGAGGCUCGGCCGGCGGAGCGGCGCCAUGCGGCGGGCUCGGGCCGCGGGGCUGCCGGCGCUGGCCGCGCUGCUGCUCGUGGCUGCGGUCAGAGCUCAAGUGCAGCAGGAGCCGUUCCUGGAGACCACCGAGGGCACCAGCAUCAGCAUCAAGUGCUCACACGCCAAUAUCCGGACUGGCGAUUUCAUCCAUUUCUACCGUCAGCUGCCGGGCCAAAGCCCCGAACUCGUGGCGGUCACUGCUAAAGCGGCCAAGAAGGUGCGAGCCCCUGAAGGGCGUCUGACGGUGUCGAAAGAUCGUCGCUCCAGCGCGCUGUGGCUGGCUGCGCCCCGGCGCGGGGACGCGGCCGUGUAUUACUGCGCGCUGGGGACCACGGGCAGAGGAGCCGGGGCUGCGGCCGGGCACGAACCGCCGCGGGCGGGGCCGGGCGGGGCCAGCAGGGGCCGCUGCCGCUCCGCCCGCCGGGCUCCCGGGGCGCGAAAUGUCUCUGUUCCAUACUGCAAGGAGAAUAAGAAGCAGCAUUCUCCCAGGGAUGGGUAA